CACGUAAUGAUGGCGGUCGGCUUGACG
This 27-nucleotide small RNA is filed under the name Bombyx mori (domestic silkworm). RNAcentral's name for it is "ovarian small RNA-13036". Lineage: Eukaryota; Metazoa; Arthropoda; Insecta; Lepidoptera; Bombycidae. The record is from RNAcentral.